CCUACGGGAGGCAGCAGUGGGGAAUAUUGGACAAUGGGCGCAAGCCUGAUCCAGCCAUGCCGCGUGGGUGAAGAAGGCCUUCGGGUUGUAAAGCCCUUUUGUCCGGAAAGAAAAGCUCUUGAUUAAUACUCGAGGGUUCUGACGGUACCGGAAGAAUAAGCACCGGCUAACUUCGUGCCAGCAGCCGCGGUAAUACGAAGGGUGCAAGCGUUACUCGGAAUUACUGGGCGUAAAGCGUGCGUAGGUGGUUCGUUAAGUCUGAUGUGAAAGCCCUGGGCUCAACCUGGGAAUUGCAUUGGAUACUGGCGAGCUAGAGUGCGGUAGAGGAUGGCGGAAUUCCCGGUGUAGCAGUGAAAUGCGUAGAGAUCGGGAGGAACAUCUGUGGCGAAGGCGGCCAUCUGGACCAGGCACUGACACUGAGGCACGAAAGCGUGGGGAGCAAACAGGAUUAGAUACCCUGGUAGUCCCACGACCUAACGACUGCGACUAGAGUGUUGGUGCACUAGCGACUCAGUAUCGAGACACGACGUUAAGUUACGUCCGCCGUCGGGAGGUACGGUCGCGACGACGAGAACGUACGAAGUAGAAGUUAGUACGGACGUGAGACGUUGCCGACGGACGACGACGAGGGAGGUAGGG
Molecule: ribosomal RNA, 639 nt
Filed under: uncultured bacterium
Lineage: Bacteria
Description: bacterial SSU rRNA
Rfam family: Bacterial small subunit ribosomal RNA (bases 1-545)
Source: RNAcentral